AAAAAAUUAUUUAUAAAAAUAAUAAUUAUCUUGUACAAAUAUUUACCUGAUGCAAUACCAUUGGUAAUACGUAGAUAGCAGAUACGAACCAUUGAAGCAACAAAUGAUUCGAAGUUUGAUAAGGACGUAAACCCCAUAUUAUUUCAACUAACCAUGUAGAUAAUAAUGAGUAUUGUUCAUAGUAACUUGAACCUUUCAAAGCCAUUAUACGAAGAAUCAAGAAUCGUAUUUUGUUUCGAAGUAAAGAAACUUUGUGAUUCGUCUUCAUUGCGCAUUCUAAUAACCCAUCAUUAUGGGCUUAUAGCAUCACUUAUAAAAGCCCCUUGACACGAUAAUAAUACCAUAAUGAUUGGAUCGAUUGAACGUUUACACUGAAAUAUUUUUGUUCUUUCUUUCUUUUCUAUAGACUUUUAUUUACACAGUUAACACGAGAACAGGUGAUUGUUCCCACCAAUUAAAUGGGGAGAGCUAGCAAUAAUUUUACUUUUUCUAUUCUACAAGGACAUGCGCAGUUAUGUUCGCUGAAUUCUGCUGACUUCAAUGUUUGCCAGUCGUUGUCGGAUUACGAAACGAGACGUUUGUUUUAAAAUGAAUCCAGUGAGUAAUGGAUAUUGGACCUUUAUGCUGACAGAUACAUAAAUUAAACGCUUUUUAUUGAAAAACGGAAAAAGUGGAAUCUUUUAUGAGGAAUACUAAAACGUUCGUAUUUUAAAUAAUAAAAUCAUAAUUUUAAUUACAGUGUAUUGUAAUAUACCGUUGCAAAUGAUAAUGCUUUUUGAACGAUCUGAAAUAAAAAUUUGUUUACUAGUG
RNAcentral lists this long non-coding RNA (810 nucleotides) under Polistes fuscatus (common paper wasp). RNAcentral describes it as "uncharacterized LOC122513839". Lineage: Eukaryota; Metazoa; Arthropoda; Insecta; Hymenoptera; Vespidae. The record is from RNAcentral.